CCCUUAGAUGUUCUGGGCUGCACGCGCGCUACACUGAAGCUAUCAACACGUUUUCCCUCCCUGAGAAGGGCGGGUAACCUUUUGAAUCAGCAUCGUGGUAGGGAUCGGGGCUUGCAAUUGUUCCCCGUGAACCAGGAAUUCCUAGUAGACGCGAGUCAUAAGCUCGCAUCGAUUAAGUCCCUGCCCUUUGUACACACCGCCCGUCGCUACUACCGAUUGAACGUUUUAGUGAGGCAUUUGGACCGACGCAUCUCAGUUUAACCGCUGGUUUGUGUUGGAAAGACUUCCAAACUUGAGCGUUUAGAGGAAGUAAAAGUCGUAACA
Molecule: ribosomal RNA, 324 nt
Filed under: uncultured eukaryote
Lineage: Eukaryota
Description: partial 18S ribosomal RNA
Rfam family: Eukaryotic small subunit ribosomal RNA
Source: RNAcentral